UAAAAUUCAUAAAUUGAUCAUAUAUAAAAACACUAGAAAACUCAUUUGAGUAAUUUAGUAUUUAUUUGUUAUUUAUGAUAUAAUUUAGUUUUUCUGUUAUUGUUAGAAUAAAAUAAAACAGAGCUCUUUGUAAUACAACAUAAACGGAAAGCUGAGUAUUUGAACUAGAAACAAGGAUCAAAAGUAUUGGUUUGUUCAGAGCAUCUCCAACAAUCCUCUUUAUUUUAAAAGAAAGAUCCACUUAAAAUAAAAAAAAAUAAAAGAAUAGAUUUUAUUACUCAAACUUAAGCGUAGCCUGAAUGGCUUACCAAACUAAAAACCCCCAGGGAGGAUGGCUGAGUGUGAAGAGGAUAUUGAACGGGUUGCAGCAGAAUACUUCCAAGUUCUCUUUACCACAUCAAGCCCCAAAAUUUUUGAUGAAGCCCUCCGGUAUGUUACCG
Molecule: long non-coding RNA, 440 nt
Filed under: Brassica rapa (field mustard)
Lineage: Eukaryota; Viridiplantae; Streptophyta; Magnoliopsida; Brassicales; Brassicaceae
Description: long non-coding RNA (BRAP_LNC001072)
Source: RNAcentral